Molecule: ribosomal RNA, 253 nt
Filed under: uncultured bacterium
Lineage: Bacteria
Description: partial 16S ribosomal RNA
Rfam family: Bacterial small subunit ribosomal RNA
Source: RNAcentral
UACGUAGGGGGCAAGCGUUAUCCGGAUUUACUGGGUGUAAAGGGAGCGUAGACGGAAUUGCAAGUCUGAUGUGAAAAUCCGGGGCCCAACCCCGGAACUGCAUUGGAAACUGUAUUUCUAGAGUGUCGGAGAGGCAAGUGGAAUUCCUGGUGUAGCGGUGAAAUGCGUAGAUAUCAGGAGGAACACCAGUGGCGGAGGCGGCUUGCUGGACGAUGACUGACGUUGAGGCUCGAAAGCGUGGGGAGCAAACAGG